This is a long non-coding RNA of Pseudophryne corroboree (corroboree frog), 753 nucleotides long. RefSeq lists it as uncharacterized. Lineage: Eukaryota; Metazoa; Chordata; Amphibia; Anura; Myobatrachidae. The record is from RefSeq and is a predicted model, not a curated record. The transcript has 3 exons.
ACAGGCUGCAGCAGCUCCAUCCUUACACAGAGACGCUUGCUUCUUGGUGCCUGUAGAGGGAGCUGCAGUGACAGCGCAGCACACAGCUCCUCUCAGGAGGUACUGUACUUGUACGUGAGGUGAAAGAGAAAAAGGCUGGUGACGGUGAGGGCACUGGGUAGGCAGUGGAUGUGUCCAAUACUCUCACUGAAUCCAGUUCACUUAAGUCUUUGCAGUGGCGACGGUCCUAAGAGGAGCCCAGUCCAGUGCCCAGGAGAAACACUGGACUGCAGGAGAAACAGCCCAGGCAGCUUGGAACUGGAGGAUAGCAGUGGUAUUUUGGUUCAAGUUGCAUCUUUUACGCCUGGAUAUGAUGAAAAGCAAAGGACACUGGAGGGAAUUUAAUUGCAAAGGAUUCCAUUGUGUUCUUUAAUGUGAUUGUUGUAUAUUAUAUGCUGUAUUGUAAAUAAUGUCAUUUUUAUCAGAAAAACAACUGCAUGUUUAUGUAUCUGUGCAGGAUAAUGUCAACAACUACUGUAGCAAUUUUCUGUUUUUACUGAAAUGUUCCCUGAGAUCUUCUGAGUAGCAUAAGCUAUGAAUCAUGUUAACUGGCUAAAUAGCAGACAAAAUAAAAAAAAAGAAAUGGCGUGAGGACAUCUUUGGCCAAAAAGUAGAAUGCCAUUAGACCACGGAUGGGGAACCUCCAGCCCGCGGACCGUAUAAGGCCCGCAAAGCCAUUUGUUCCGGUCCAACCGCUUGUUUGUCAGUGAGACA